GAUGAACGCUAGCGGCAGGCCUAAUACAUGCAAGUCGGACGGGAUUCAGGAGCUUGCUUCUGAUGAGAGUGGCGCACGGGUGCGUAACACGUAUGUAACCUACCUUUAUCAGGGGGAUAGCCUCUCGAAAGAGAGAUUAAGCCCGCAUAAAAUCACAGCACAGCAUUGUGUAAUGAUCAAAUAUUUAUAGGAUAAAGAUGGGCAUGCGGAACAUUAGCUAGAUGGCGGGGUAACGGCCCACCAUGGCGACGAUGUUUAGGGGAUCUGAGAGGAUGGCCCCCCACACUGGUACUGAGACACGGACCAGACUCCUACGGGAGGCAGCAGUAAGGAAUAUUGGUCAAUGGGCGGAAGCCUGAACCAGCCAUGCCGCGUGCAGGAAGACGGCCCUACGGGUUGUAAACUGCUUUUAUACGAGAAUAAACCCAGAUACGUGUAUCUGGCUGAAUGUACUGUAAGAAUAAGGAUCGGCUAACUCCGUG
Molecule: ribosomal RNA, 482 nt
Filed under: uncultured bacterium
Lineage: Bacteria
Description: partial 16S ribosomal RNA
Rfam family: Bacterial small subunit ribosomal RNA
Source: RNAcentral